This 801-nucleotide non-coding RNA is filed under the name Pan troglodytes (chimpanzee). Lineage: Eukaryota; Metazoa; Chordata; Mammalia; Primates; Hominidae. The record is from RNAcentral.
GGAGCAAGGACCGGACGAGACGCUACGCCUGAAAACAGGCGGCGGGCGAGGGACGAGGCUUACCACGGCACCACGCGAGUGGAAAGGGCCGUCUCCGCUAGCGGCGGCCCACACCAGCUCACCGAGGGGCGGCAGCGCGCGGCCCGGCUGCCGGACCGUACCAUCCCGGGCGGUGGAGCCGCCGCGGAGGGGCGCGCGCGAGCCGAGGGCGCACCCGGGAGGCCCAGGUAGCCCGGGGGCCGGUGCUGGGGCGCCGGGCAGGCCCGGCUCCCGCCUCGACCCACCCGGAGCCAGCCCCCUCUGCGGACACGACAUCCCCAUGGGGACGGUGGCGCGAAACGCCCCACUCUGCCGCACCCAAACUCUGCAGACCCCCAGCUUCCCUCGGCGGCCGCGACCUCCCGCCUCCCCGUCUGCCGCUGAGGGCCCGCGGCGUACACAAUAGGCUUCCCAGAAGGGUUAAGAGGCAGAGGUAGAAGAAAUACGGACUUUAAUGAAGAGUUUUCCCUUUGGUAUAAGUGAGACCCGUGGAAACAUCCAAACAACAGCAAAAGGAGGCCAGGAUGAAAACGGUCAACUCUCCCUUAUCCACAAGGCCAAAAGAUGGGGGCCGGCUUGCUGUGGUGUGGCCACCCCGGGCCUAGGCUGGGCCGGGCCUGUAGAAGGUACUCAGGAACUGCAGGUUUUGCGUUUCCCCUCCAUGAAACUGACAGGCAUUCGGGCUGACUUCUGCCUCUCAGUCUCGCGGUAAGAGACCCAAGUUUUUCUAGUCCUAGAUGGAAAUAAAUUUCAUCUGCCUCA